This 472-nucleotide ribosomal RNA is filed under the name uncultured bacterium. RNAcentral describes it as "SSU rRNA". It matches the Rfam family "Bacterial small subunit ribosomal RNA", at positions 26 to 518 of the family's 1533-position model. The record is from RNAcentral.
AGGACGAACGCUGGCGGCGUGCUUAACGCAUGCAAGUCGAGCGGAAAGGCUCCUUUCGGGGGGUACUCGAGCGGCGAACGGGUGAGUAACACGUGAGUAACCUGCCCUGGACUUUGGGAUAACCCUCGGAAACGGGGGCUAAUACCGGAUAUGACACGCGGAUGCAUGUUUGUGUGUGGAAAGAUUUUUGGUCUGGGAUGGGCUCGCGGCCUAUCAGCUUGUUGGUGGGGUGAUGGCCUACCAAGGCGACGAUCCAUAGCUGGUCUGAGAGGAUGAUCAGCCACAUUGGGACUGAGACACGGCCCAAACUCCUACGGGAGGCAGCAGUGGGGAAUAUUGGACAAUGGGCGAAAGCCUGAUCCAGCCAUGCCGCGUGAGUGAUGAAGGCCCUAGGGUUGUAAAGCUCUUUCAACGGUGAAGAUAAUGACGGUAACCGUAGAAGAAGCCCGGCUAACUUCGUGCCAGCAGCCGC